CCUACGGGAGGCAGCAGUGGGGAAUAUUGCACAAUGGGGGGAACCCUGAUGCAGCGACGCCGCGUGAGUGAAGAAGUAUUUCGGUAUGUAAAGCUCUAUCAGCAGGGAAGAUAAUGACGGUACCUGACUAAGAAGCUCCGGCUAACUACGUGCAAGCAGCCGCGGUAAUACGUAGGGGGCAAGCGUUAUCCGGAUUUCCUGGGUGUAAAGGGGGCGUAGGUGGCAGGGCAAGUCAGAUGUGAAAGCCCGGGGCCCAACCCCGGUACUGCAUUUGAAACUGUCCGGCUGGAGUGCAGGAGAGGUAAGCGGAAGUCCUGGUGUAGCGGUGAAAGGCGUAGAUAUUAGGAGGAACACCAGUGGCGAAGGCGGUUUACUGGACUGUAACUGACACUGAGGCACGAAAGCGUGGGGAGCAAACAGGAUUAGAUACCCCGGUAGUC
RNAcentral lists this ribosomal RNA (440 nucleotides) under uncultured bacterium. Its description in RNAcentral is "partial 16S ribosomal RNA". It matches the Rfam family "Bacterial small subunit ribosomal RNA", at positions 338 to 795 of the family's 1533-position model. The record is from RNAcentral.